Molecule: non-coding RNA, 1048 nt
Organism: Paramuricea clavata
Lineage: Eukaryota; Metazoa; Cnidaria; Anthozoa; Malacalcyonacea; Plexauridae
Source: the annotation of a GenBank genome assembly
CCUGUAUGGCUGCACUAAUUGUGGCUCAUAAUAUUGCAGUAAAUAUAUGUAGCGCUGGCUAGUAAAUAUGCAACAAUUGACACUUUAUGUCAUCAUUUAUACAAAACCUGGACAGAUUUACUGGGGGGGUAGGGGCGGGGGGGGGAGUUAAACCCCCUUAGAAUCUCUCUAACCCCACUUAUAAAGUGUUUAACCCCACCAAAAUUUUGCUUCACCCCUCUUAUUUUGUGUGAAAGUCUUUAACCCUUACGCCUGACCCCUGCCAAAGCUCGCUCAGUGGUGCCAUUUGCACCCAACUAGAAAUUUCUCUACCCCUCCUUUUAAAAAAAUGAAAAUCCGCCAUUGAUACAAAACUAUUUCAAGUCGGGCCGGCAGUGUUAAUAUAGAAUGUUAACUAAGUGGCGGGUGUUUCGGGCAGGUUCUUCCUCAAUCCCCUCCCCUAGAAGAUCCUACCACGCUGGCUAUGAAAGAUUUGCAAUGUUUCCUCCCUUUCUUUGUUUCUUAUUCAUUGCCCUAUCGGCCAUAGACUUGCUCCAAGUCUCUCUUUCAUUGUCAUAUUGAUCCACUAUAGUGUACAUUACAUGACAUAGCACGGAGAGGCGGAGCGAGAAAGAGAGACUUGUCAACUUCGGAAAAUCUCAGUUCAAAACUGAACUGAAAAUGCAAGACUUGCUUUAAUUGUUUUCCUUCAAUUUCUUUCUGUAUUAUUUACUAUAAUGGAACUCAUGUUAUUUACACUGUGCUAGAUCAAUACAUAUAAACACUGACAGAAAACAAUUAAAGCAAGUCUUGCAUUUUCGGUUCAGUUUGGAAACCGAGAUUUUCCGACGUUGACAAGUCUCUUUUUCUCGCUCUGCCCCACCGUACUACGUCAUGUAAUGUACACUGUAGUGGAUCGAUAUAUGACAAUGAAAGAGAGACUUGGAGCAAGUCUAUAUCGGCCAGUGUUCGUUGGCUUUUCGGAAAAUAUGAGUCUAAUACAAGGCAGCGGAGUACGGUAUAUUAAUAUUGAAAUUCGUAUUUUGUUAAAAUGUAUUUUUAAUGCACA